RNAcentral lists this long non-coding RNA (3135 nucleotides) under Equus caballus (horse). RNAcentral describes it as "lncRNA (ENSECAG00000049394.1)". The record is from RNAcentral. Lineage: Eukaryota; Metazoa; Chordata; Mammalia; Perissodactyla; Equidae.
AAAUGGUUCACUGGUUACUGUUAUGGUCAGUUGUUAUUUUAAAACAUGUAAAGAAGGUAUUACAGAGAAAUACAGAAUAAUUUAUGAUUUUGAGAAUACCCAAGAAUUGCUGGGAAUUCCAAUUUCUUGUUCCGGAAUCCUGAAGAUUAUUGUCUCUCAAGAAUUUGCAGACACGGUACAGUCCCUGGCACGAGCAGACACUCAGCGUAUAUUUAGAAAGAAGGGAUGUUAUUUUGUUGUUUGAUGGUCCCAGCUGUCCUAUGAAGUAGAAGUGAAUGUGCCAUUUUACACGUGAGAAUCCUGGCUCUCCUUUGAGACUGACGGGGGACAACAUCCUUAAGAUUCUUAAAAGCUGCAUUGUUCGCUGAGAUGGCCUGUGCGCCACCCCUCAGGACUCCUGGAAGUACUGAUAGUGCCUUUGCUCGUCUUCACCUGCUCUGUGGCCCAGGAGACUGCUGGUUGAGUUCAGCCACCAGAUGACGCCAGCUGAAGGUCAGUGGGGGUGGUGGUGAAUGAAGUCACAGUGUUCAUUCCUCCAGCUCCCUCCCAGAAAAUGGUCUGAAGGAGGAACUCAGGAAAAGGAUUCUAGAGGAAAGGCCUCCCAGACCACAGCAACCGUGACUAGAAGAAGUCCCGGUCAUAAAGACGCCAAACGUCCAAGGAGGGGCCGGGCUGAGGCUGCAAGGCCCUACCACCAAGCUGAAGAAACUGCCACUUGUUGGAGACAAAUUUGUGGAGUUGAGAAUGGUCUCUCUCAAAAAGACACUUCUUGAAGAGUCUGGGCCAGGGUCUUCCGUUUUGCUUUUAUAUGGGAUUUAAUGCUAGAAAGCAUUAAAUACAUACACAUACAUGUAUAGAUACACAUAUACAAAGAGAUAUACAGGUAAAGAUAAACAUAUUUGGACAUGGAUAUACAUACACAAACAGACAUACACAUAGACACGGAUGCAGGGGACUGAGGUGACCACCACGUGAAGAGCUGAUAGGCCACUGGGAACACCCAGGCCUCCUUUCCAAUGAUCUUCUCAAAGUGUGAGCACACCACAUGGCACAGCUGUCUUCACUGCUAUAUUCUAGAACGCCCCUGCAUCAGAUUCCUUCUCACAUAAGAACCAACAGUGAUAACGCCAUACCUCGUUGUGCGAUGAAACACUACGGGGCCCUUGAAAGGAGAGAGGUAGAUCUUGAGGACUAACAGCGAAAGAUGCCACUGUGGUGGAGCGCCUGCUGUGAGGUGAACAAAGGAAAUGCAGAGCUGUGAACAGAGGAGACUUCUCUCUGGUGUUUUUUGGGGAGGAGAUGAUUAGACGGUGCAUAGAAAAAAUUCUAAGGGAAUGUGCAUCAAAAUGUUACCGUUUUUUUCUUGGGGAGGAGAUCAUGGGGGAACAUUCCACAUUUUUCUAUAUUAUAUGCUUCUCUAAUGUUUCAUGCUUUUAUAAAAAAAUGCAUUACCUUUGAAAUCAGAAAAAACAGAUGGACACAUAAAACACACAUGUUCAUAUUGUGUACGCACCAUGUUCUCUAAAGCUUGCUUCCUUACGAGGUCUGCCUCGCCCUCACACCACUCCCAGACCUUCACUUCAUCAGUCCUGCGCCUUCACUUUGGCUUUUCCUUCUGCCCAGAGUGCCUGCCCCGAGCCUUUCAUUAUUCCAAAUUCUCUUUUUUUGAAGAAGAUGAUUACUAACAUCUGCUGCCAAUCCUCCUCUUUUUGGUCAAGAAGAUUGGCCCUGAGCUAACAUCUGUGUCCAUCUUCCUCUACUUUAUAUGUGGACGCCUGCCACAGCAUGGCUUGAUAAGCAGUGUGUAGGUCCACACCCAGGAUCCAAAUCUGCAAACCCCAGGCCACCAAAGCGGAGCAUGUAAACUUAACCACUACACCAUCGGGCCAGCCCCUAAAAUUCUCCCCGCCUGACCAUCAAGGAUGGCCCAGAUUAAAUUCAAAGGUCUCCCUGAAACCGUUCCCCCAGUUCUGAGUCCAUUUGGACUCCUUCUUUCCUCAACUUUCAUAAAGCCAACUGCAGCGUGUAUGAGAAUCCCCUGGAGAAACUGUUAGUGCUCCUGUUACCCAUCCCCAGAAACUCUGACCCAGCAGCACCAUGGUAGGCCCAAAGUUUGCACUUCUAACAAUACUCCCUAGUGCUGUCGAUGCUGCUUGUUGUGGGUCACAUUUUAGGAGGCCCUGGCUAGAAAUCAACAACUUAGAACUCAUUGUGUUGCUUUCCUUCUUUAUCAAACAUACGCUCUGUCAUUGGACUGCCAGUUCCUUGUGGGCGGGCACCUAGUUUUACAUUCUUCUGAAUCCUCCGUGGUUUGGGAGCCACGAGAUGUUCACAGGACAUGUGUUACCUGAGGCUUGGAGGUCUGCAGGUUUUCUCAGUAAUUUAGACAGUGGUAAAGACUAUGGAAGAGUUUACAGCAGUCUCUUCCGCUAUGACCAGCUCCAGAAAGCUUUCUGGCCCUGGUUCUGAACUUGAAUGCCUCUAGAAUCCAUGUGUAUGACCGUAUGACUUUACACAGGUUAAGGGACAAUGGACAUAUCAGCCUCGGGAGGACAAUUCCUUUAUGGAGCCUCAGAAUCUCUGAAAACACAACUUUAUAAUGAGACUUCCUUUAAUUUCUAGACUGUUCCUAAACUAGUGGGUUCCUGAGGCUGGCUAAUACAACUUGACUAUAACAGAGCAGUCUGAACUUAGGUGGCCACAACUAAGUGUGAAAUGCAAAUGUGCAACUGACUUCUAGCUUUAUGUUUUAAAAGGAGCGAUGGGAUACCUGGGCCUGGUGCUGACCCACUGUAUGAAUGCCAAUCACUCCAUGCAAGUCAGAGUACAGAAGCUGGCCCCAUAGAGGUCCCCUGAUGGCUACCUCUCCAGAAGAGCCCCAAGCAACAGAACACACACCCAAUCCAUGCUGUAACUCUGCACCUGCCAAGGCCCACCCUUCUUUCUCCAACCAAUAAAGCCCCCAGUUUUCUUGGGGACUACAGACAAUUGGAAUGAUCCCACCCACCCAUCUCUGUGCAGUGUGUUGAGAGUGCUGAGAAUCUCUAGUCCUUGACUCUCCUCUUUGGCAUACAUCCCAUUCUCUUUUCCACUGGAUCUUGAGGAGACAGGAGGCAUCAUUAAAGCUUGUGUGUG